CACGUCCCAUGUGAACCAUAUCUCUCAUCCUCACCCCACAAUUAAUGUCACCUUAUCUAUAGUUAUUUACCUAUCCCAUUAAAAUCUAAAAUUCUCUAUAUCUAUACUAUAUAUAAAAGCACGUAUAUUAUAUAUAUAUAUAUAUAUACUAUAUAUAAAAGCACGUAUAUUCAAAUUUGGGUCUGUCGACAGACCCAUUUUUCGGCGGAAAAAUUAGCGCCCAUUUUUCUCUUUCCGUACGAAAAAUUUUAAAUAUAAGAAUAAAAAUAGAAAUAGAACAGCAAUGAAUACGUAAGUUAUCUAUAACAGAUUAUUGAUGUGAAAAUCCUAAAAUAUAAAUUUUUCUAUUUAAUUUCAAAAGUAAGUUUUCUAUAACAGAUUACGGGUGUGAAAAUCCUAUAAAAAUAUUUUCCUAUUUUAUUUUAAAAUAUCUUUUUUAGAUAUUAUCUUUUUAAUUUCAAAAUAUAUUUUCUUUUUAAGAUAACGGAUUUUAUUUUUCUAUUUAAUUUCAAAAAUUUAUUUCCUAACAGAUUUUAUUUUUCUAUUUAAUUUCAAAAGUAAUUUUUGCAUUAGAGAUUAUUGUUAAUUAUUUAUCAUUUAAAGCAUAUCUUUCUUAAUAGCGUGAUUUAUUAUUUUAAAUUUUUUAGAUACAUAUUUGGCAAUCAUAUAAAAUAUGGCCUAAAAUUAAAAAAAUAAUUUAAAAAAAUUAUAACUUUUUCUAAUAAUUAUUAUGUGCAUUUGCACGUACAUUUUACUAGUAUUCUCUAUAAA
RNAcentral lists this long non-coding RNA (771 nucleotides) under Ananas comosus (pineapple). Its description in RNAcentral is "long non-coding RNA (ACOM_LNC027425)". Lineage: Eukaryota; Viridiplantae; Streptophyta; Magnoliopsida; Poales; Bromeliaceae. The record is from RNAcentral.